UUAAAUUUGAAGUGUGUUAAAAGUUAAUUUAGUAUUAUGUAUUAUUAUUUAUUCAAUGAUUUAUAUAAAAUUAGAUAUAUAUAUAGAAUAAUAAUCAAUUGAAUUUUUUAAUAUAAAGUAUUGUGUCAUAUAAUUGUGGUAAUACAUUAUUACUAUUAAAAGUAUUAAUACACGGAAAUAUAUGUAUACUAAUUGUUUUACUUAUAUCUUAAGGGAGUCGUCUACAAAAUUCAUUCUUUCCUUCUCAAAAGUUUUAUGAUAUUGUUAAGUGCAAUAAAUUAGAG
Non-coding RNA from Cinara cedri, 284 nucleotides. Lineage: Eukaryota; Metazoa; Arthropoda; Insecta; Hemiptera; Aphididae. The record is from the annotation of a GenBank genome assembly.